This 1128-nucleotide ribosomal RNA is filed under the name Staphylococcus pseudintermedius. RNAcentral's name for it is "bacterial SSU rRNA". It matches the Rfam family "Bacterial small subunit ribosomal RNA", at positions 260 to 1389 of the family's 1533-position model. Lineage: Bacteria; Bacillati; Bacillota; Bacilli; Caryophanales; Staphylococcaceae. The record is from RNAcentral.
ACGGCCUACCAAGGCGACGAUACGUAGCCGACCUGAGAGGGUGAUCGGCCACACUGGAACUGAGACACGGUCCAGACUCCUACGGGAGGCAGCAGUAGGGAAUCUUCCGCAAUGGCGAAAGCCUGACGGAGCAACGCCGCGUGAGUGAUGAAGGUCUUCGGAUCGUAAAGCUCUGUUGUUAGGGAAGAACAAAUGUGUAAGUAACUGUGCACAUCUUGACGGUACCUAACAGAAGCCACGGCUAACUACGUGCCAGCAGCCGCGGUAAUACGUAGGUGGCAAGCGUUAUCCGGAAUUAUUGGGCGUAAAGCGCGCGUAGGCGGUUUUUUAAGUCUGAUGUGAAAGCCCACGGCUCAACCGUGGAGGGUCAUUGGAAACUGGAAAACUUGAGUGCAGAAGAGGAAAGUGGAAUUCCAUGUGUAGCGGUGAAAUGCGCAGAGAUAUGGAGGAACACCAGUGCGAAGGCGGCUUCUGGUCUGCAACUGACGCUGAUGUGCGAAAGCGUGGGGAUCAAACAGGAUUAGAUACCCUGGUAGUCCACGCCGUAAACGAUGAGUGCUAAGUGUUAGGGGGUUUCCGCCCCUUAGUGCUGCAGCUAACGCAUUAAGCACUCCGCCUGGGGAGUACGGUCGCAAGACUGAAACUCAAAGGAAUUGACGGGGACCCGCACAAGCGGUGGAGCAUGUGGUUAAUUCGAAGCAACGCGAAGAACCUUACCAAAUCUUGACAUCCUUGACCGCUCUAGAGAUAGAGUUUUCCUCUUCGGAGGACAAAGUGACAGGUGGUGCAUGGUUGUCGUCAGCUCGUGUCGUGAGAUGUUGGGUUAAGUCCCGCAACGAGCGCAACCCUUGAACUUAGUUGCCAUCAUUCAGUUGGGCACUCUAAGUUGACUGCCGGUGACAAACCGGAGGAAGGUGGGGAUGACGCAAUCAUCAUGCCCCUUAUGAUUUGGGCUACACACGUGCUACAAUGGACAAUACAAAGGGCAGCGAAACCGCGAGGUCAAGCAAAUCCCAUAAAGUUGUUCUCAGUUCGGAUUGUAGUCUGCAACUCGACUACAUGAAGCUGGAAUCGCUAGUAAUCGUAGUCAGCAUGCUACGGUGAAUACGUUCCCGGGUCUUGUACACA